UCAUUUGCAUAUUAUAGCAAA
Molecule: non-coding RNA, 21 nt
Filed under: Caenorhabditis elegans
Lineage: Eukaryota; Metazoa; Nematoda; Chromadorea; Rhabditida; Rhabditidae
Source: RNAcentral